Molecule: ribosomal RNA, 507 nt
Filed under: Sinoxylon ruficorne
Lineage: Eukaryota; Metazoa; Arthropoda; Insecta; Coleoptera; Bostrichidae
Description: partial 16S ribosomal RNA
Rfam family: Bacterial large subunit ribosomal RNA
Source: RNAcentral
GGUUUUUUGAGUAUAAUUUAAAAUCUGACCUGCCCUAUGAUUAUUUUAAAUGGCCGCAGUAUCUUGACUGUGCGAAGGUAGCAUGAUCAUUAGCCUCUUAAUUAGGGGCUUGUAUGAAUGGUUUGACGAGAAAAAUGCUGUCUCAUCUUUAAAAAUAGAAUUUUAAUUUUGAGUGAAAAUGCUUAAAUUUUUUUGAGGGACGAGAAGACCCUAUAGAGUUUUAUAAAAUUUUAUUAUAGAUGUUAGGGUGUAUAUUUUUAUAAUAAGGUUUUUAUUUUGUUGGGGUGAUGGGAAAAUUCAAGGAACUUUUCUUUUUAAUUAAUACUUUUGUGUAUAUUAAUGAUCCACUAUUUGUGAUUAUAAGAUUAAAUUACCUUAGGGAUAACAGCGUUAUUUUUCUUUAGAGUUCUCAUUAAAAGAAAAGUUUGCGACCUCGAUGUUGGAUUAAAAUUACAGUACGGCGCAGUAGCUGUAUAUGUAGGUCUGUUCGACCUUUAAAGUUUUACA